CCUACGGGGGGCUGCAGUGGGGAAUAUUGCACAAUGGGCGCAAGCCUGAUGCAGCCAUGCCGCGUGUGUGAAGAAGGCCUUCAGGUUGUAAAGCACUUUCAGCGGGGAGGAAGGCGGUGAGGUUAAUAACCUCAUCGAUUGACGUUACCCGCAGAAGAAGCACCGGCUAACUCCGUGCCAGCAGCCGCGGUAAUACGGAGGGUGCAAGCGUUAAUCGGAAUUACUGGGCGUAAAGCGCACGCAGGUGGUCUGUCAAGUCGGAUGUGAAAUCCCCGGGCUUAACCUGGGAACUGCAUUCGAAACUGGCAGGCUAGAGUCUUGUAGAGGGGGGUAGAAUUCCAGGUGUAGCGGUGAAAUGCGUAGAGAUCUGGAGGAAUACCGGUGGCGAAGGCGGCCCCCUGGACAAAGACUGACGCUCAGGUGCGAAAGCGUGGGGAGCAAACAGGAUUAGAUACCCUAGUAGUC
This 465-nucleotide ribosomal RNA is filed under the name uncultured Klebsiella sp. RNAcentral describes it as "bacterial SSU rRNA". It matches the Rfam family "Bacterial small subunit ribosomal RNA", at positions 338 to 795 of the family's 1533-position model. Lineage: Bacteria; Pseudomonadati; Pseudomonadota; Gammaproteobacteria; Enterobacterales; Enterobacteriaceae. The record is from RNAcentral.